This 237-nucleotide ribosomal RNA is filed under the name uncultured bacterium. Its description in RNAcentral is "partial 16S ribosomal RNA". It matches the Rfam family "Bacterial small subunit ribosomal RNA", at positions 57 to 305 of the family's 1533-position model. The record is from RNAcentral.
GCAAGUCGAACGAACAAAAUUGGGGCUUGCUCCAAUUUUAGUGAGUGGCAAACGGGUGAGUAACACGUGGGAAUCUACCCAUCAGUACGGAAUAACAUUUGGAAACAAAUGCUAAUACCGUAUAUUCUCUAAGGAGGAAAGAUUUAUCGCUGAUGGAUGAGCCCGCGCAAGAUUAGGUAGUUGGUGGGGUAAUAGCUCACCAAGGCUACGAUCGGUAGCUGGUCUGAGAGGAUGAUC